AAACGUCAUCGUUUAUCAAAUUUCAUUCAGAUUUACCCAAAAAAAUACCCAAAAAAAUGAAAGUUUUAGGGUUUCUUUAUAGAAGAUGAUGAUUAAGAGAAGAUUAAAAGUAGGGUUUAGAUGAUUUUUCAGAUAGUAGUUGUUGUACGGCGGUGUAGAUGACGAUGCGGUGGCUCAACUGUGUUUUGUGAAACCCUAGAUCCACACAGAGUGAAAGGUCAAUUUUGUACUUUCUCUCUCUUAUCUCCUUCUCUCUCUAUCUCAAUU
This 267-nucleotide unclassified non-coding RNA is filed under the name Hevea brasiliensis (rubber tree). Lineage: Eukaryota; Viridiplantae; Streptophyta; Magnoliopsida; Malpighiales; Euphorbiaceae. The record is from RNAcentral.